AGCUUAAAUUUUUUUAAAAGACGAGAAGACCCUUUAGAGUUUUAUUUUUUGAUUUAUUUAUAAUUUAGGAAUUUAAUUAGAUUAAAUUAUUUAGUUGGGGUGACUCAAGGAUUUAUAAAAUUCUUUGAUUAUAAUAUUGUUGAUUUUUAAAUUUAUUUUCUGUAUUUUCAAGUUUAAAUUAAAUUACCUUAGGGAUAACAGCGUAAUUUUCCUUUAAAGUUCUCAUUAAAAGGAGAGUUUGCGACCUCGAUGUUGGAUUAAAAUAAAUUUUUGGUGCAGUAACUUAGGGAUUAGGUCUGUUCGACCUUUAAAAUUUUACAUGAUCUGAGUUUAGACCGGCGUGAGCCAGGUUAGAUUCUAUCUUUAGAAUUUUUUAAUAUUUUAGUACGAAAGGACCAAGUAUAGAUUAUAAUAAUUGU
RNAcentral lists this ribosomal RNA (419 nucleotides) under Dilophotes sp. AD LB-2014. RNAcentral's name for it is "partial 16S ribosomal RNA". The stretch from base 194 to 352 matches the Rfam family "Bacterial large subunit ribosomal RNA", at positions 2473 to 2632 of the family's 2925-position model. Lineage: Eukaryota; Metazoa; Arthropoda; Insecta; Coleoptera; Lycidae. The record is from RNAcentral.